AUUGAACGCUGGCGGCAUGCCUUACACAUGCAAGUCGAACGGCAGCACGGGUGCUUGCACCUGGUGGCGAGUGGCGAAAGGGUGAGUAAUACAUCGGAACAUGUCCUGUAGUGGGGGAUAGCCCGGCGAAAGCCGGAUUAAUACCGCAUACGAUCCACGGAUGAAAGCGGGGGACCUUCGGGCCUCGCGCUAUAGGGUUGGCCGAUGGCUGAUUAGCUAGUUGGUGGGGUAAAGGCCUACCAAGGCGACGAUCAGUAGCUGGUCUGAGAGGACGACCAGCCACACUGGGACUGAGACACGGCCCAGACUCCUACGGGAGGCAGCAGUGGGGAAUUUUGGACAAUGGGCGAAAGCCUGAUCCAGCAAUGCCGCGUGUGUGAAGAAGGCCUUCGGGUUGUAAAGCACUUUUGUCCGGAAAGAAAUCCUUGACUCUAAUACAGUCGGGGGAUGACGGUACCGGAAGAAUAAGCACCGGCUAACUACGUG
Molecule: ribosomal RNA, 486 nt
Filed under: uncultured bacterium
Lineage: Bacteria
Description: partial 16S ribosomal RNA
Rfam family: Bacterial small subunit ribosomal RNA
Source: RNAcentral